CUUCCUAAGUGGGUGUUCCCAUCACUCCAACAUCCAUCCUGGACAACCUGGGGCCUUCUUCUCAUCUCACUGCUGAAGGGUUCCUGUCCUUGUUGGCCCUGUCCCUGGACAUAAGCCAGAGGGGAGGCAGUGGCUACAGGGGUUCAAGCAGAUCAUGAUACUCAAGUUGGAGAACUUGCCCCUUCCUAGGUGUCUUCACCUGCAAGUGCCCUAGAGGACAUCUGAAGACCAUCGUGAGAACAGACAUCACUUGCCAGCGCCCCUGGACGCAGGAACCUAGAACCACCCUUCCAACAUCCCACUCACCAGACAGGAUCCGACCUCGGAUGGAGACGUUACCAGUGAAGGGGCAUUUCUUGUCUAUCCUGCAGAACUCACGGCUGAGAUCAAAAAGAGCUUUUCAGCCAGACUGGACCUCCAAAACAUACAAAUCCACUCAUUCGGGAUUCAAGCUUAUGUCCACGUAGCCGAGCCUGGUGGGCCGGAUCUGUCAUCCCGGUUGAGGUUGAGGCAGGAUGGCAAGUUUAAGACAAGCCUAAGCUCAUCGAGGCCAGAGCUGCGCUCACACUGAAAACUACAGCGAGGUCGGGACCGCAGCCCUGCCGUAGAGCGCACGAGGUCCGGGCCUCAGUCUCCAUCAAGGGGAAAAAACCUGCUUUACCCAGUGUCCCCGGCUCUGCCGCCGCAGGACUCCCGCGCCGCAGGAUGCCCUCCUCCCGCCACAAUCCCUCACCCGUUAAGCUCUGAGCUUUAAGAACCAACUCCCGAAGCGCCAGGG
Molecule: long non-coding RNA, 778 nt
Filed under: Mus musculus (house mouse)
Lineage: Eukaryota; Metazoa; Chordata; Mammalia; Rodentia; Muridae
Description: predicted gene 45552
Source: RNAcentral